This 21-nucleotide non-coding RNA is filed under the name Arabidopsis thaliana (thale cress). The record is from RNAcentral. Lineage: Eukaryota; Viridiplantae; Streptophyta; Magnoliopsida; Brassicales; Brassicaceae.
UCUUGACCUUGUAAGACCCCA